UACGAAGGGGGCUAGCGUUGUUCGGAUUUACUGGGCGUAAAGCGCACGUAGGCGGAUUCUUAAGUCAGGGGUGAAAUCCCGAGGCUCAACCUCGGAACUGCCUUUGAUACUGGGGAUCUCGAGUUCGGGAGAGGUGAGUGGAAUUGCGAGUGUAGAGGUGAAAUUCGUAGAUAUUCGCAAGAACACCAGUGGCGAAGGCGGCUCACUGGCCCGAUACUGACGCUGAGGUGCGAAAGCGUGGGGAGCAAACAGG
This 253-nucleotide ribosomal RNA is filed under the name uncultured bacterium. RNAcentral's name for it is "partial 16S ribosomal RNA". It matches the Rfam family "Bacterial small subunit ribosomal RNA", at positions 524 to 776 of the family's 1533-position model. The record is from RNAcentral.